This 429-nucleotide ribosomal RNA is filed under the name Bacteroidota bacterium. Its description in RNAcentral is "Bacteroidetes bacterium partial 16S ribosomal RNA". It matches the Rfam family "Bacterial small subunit ribosomal RNA", at positions 355 to 776 of the family's 1533-position model. The record is from RNAcentral. Lineage: Bacteria; Pseudomonadati; Bacteroidota.
UAGGGAAUCUUCGGCAAUGGGGGGAACCCUGACCGAGCAACGCCGCGUGAGUGAAGAAGGUUUUCGGAUCGUAAAGCUCUGUUGUUAAGGAAGAACGAGUGUGAGAAUGGAAAGUUCAUGCUGUGACGGUACUUAACCAGAAAGGGACGGCUAACUACGUGCCAGCAGCCGCGGUAAUACGUAGGUCCCGAGCGUUGUCCGGAUUUAUUGGGCGUAAAGCGAGCGCAGGCGGUUAGAAAAGUCUGAAGUGAAAGGCAGUGGCUCAACCAUUGUAGGCUUUGGAAACUGUUUAACUUGAGUGCAGAAGGGGAGAGUGGAAUUCCAUGUGUAGCGGUGAAAUGCGUAGAUAUAUGGAGGAACACCGGUGGCGAAAGCGGCUCUCUGGUCUGUAACUGAGGCUGAGGCUCGAAAGCGUGGGGAGCGAACAGG